AACGAACGCUGGCGGCAUGCCUAACACAUGCAAGUCGAGCGAGACCUUCGGGUCUAGUGGCGCACGGGUGCGUAACGCGUGGGAACCUGCCCUUAGGUUCGGAAUAACUCAGAGAAAUUUGAGCUAAUACCGGAUAAUGUCUUCGGACCAAAGAUUUAUCGCCUUUGGAUGGGCCCGCGUAGGAUUAGCUUGUUGGUGGGGUAAUGGCCUACCAAGGCGACGAUCCUUAGCUGGUCUGAGAGGAUGAUCAGCCACACUGGGACUGAGACACGGCCCAGACUCCUACGGGAGGCAGCAGUGGGGAAUAUUGGACAAUGGGCGAAAGCCUGAUCCAGCAAUGCCGCGUGAGUGAUGAAGGCCUUAGGGUUGUAAAGCUCUUUUACCAGGGAUGAUAAUGACAGUACCUGGAGAAUAAGCUCCGGCUAACUCCGUG
RNAcentral lists this ribosomal RNA (433 nucleotides) under uncultured bacterium. RNAcentral describes it as "partial 16S ribosomal RNA". It matches the Rfam family "Bacterial small subunit ribosomal RNA", at positions 29 to 507 of the family's 1533-position model. The record is from RNAcentral.